CUUUCGUUAAGGGCGUUUUCAUCGCGCAGCGUUAAGUAUUUAAAUCGGUAGUAUACUGAUCGACGCGUCACUUGUGUUAGCAGCAUCGUAUUAAAACAACUACAUUUGUUCCCGCACGUCUUCUCGUUCUUACGACUGUCAUUUGAUAUCAACAAUUUGUCGCUAUGAAGUCCUUCAUCAUCGGAGUAUGUCUUCUCGCCUGCCUUUCUUUUGAAAUUGGCCAUUCCCUCGAGUGCUACUCUUGUGGCUCUUUUAAAUACCAAACUAUCGACCUUGGCACUUGUGGAGCCGAUACCCUUGC
Molecule: long non-coding RNA, 301 nt
Organism: Strongylocentrotus purpuratus (purple sea urchin)
Lineage: Eukaryota; Metazoa; Echinodermata; Echinoidea; Camarodonta; Strongylocentrotidae
Exons: 3
Source: RefSeq, a predicted model, not a curated record